This 1154-nucleotide long non-coding RNA is filed under the name Oryza brachyantha (malo sina). RNAcentral describes it as "long non-coding RNA (OBRA_LNC001408)". The record is from RNAcentral. Lineage: Eukaryota; Viridiplantae; Streptophyta; Magnoliopsida; Poales; Poaceae.
CGAGGAGGGCCAUGCUGAGGGCCGCCGCCGACGAGUCGGUGAACGCGUUGUCCGCGCCGUCCCUCAUCCGGUUCGUGAUCGGGAUCGCCGCCGACACCGCCGACAUCAGCAGGUACGCCAUCACCUGCAUGCAUGCAACACGUACGUACCAUCGACAUCGAUCAGAACAUUUUGUAUUUCAGAGCUCAUUGUAACUAUGCCACUGUCGACAUUAAGCACAUAUAUCAUGCUCAGGUAAUCUCAGGUUAGUGGGGUGAUCUAAAAGUCUAGUCCGAUAAAUAAAUUAUGAGGAAAAAUCUUAAAAUCAACUCUAUAUUUAAGGUUAAAAUUUUUAAAUUUUGAGUUAUAAAUUUAAACAAAAACGAACAGACGAGGAUGUAGAACUUCUCAUGAUGCACAUGCUUUCAAAUCCAUGUCACACUGGCCGGCCAUCAUCAACUCAAAGGCUCUAAGAGCACACUGCACACUUGCAAUUAAUUUUGCUUAAUUGGACGGGGAGAGACUUAGAUGCCAAGUUACGCACGUACAGGUCAUUGUCAACUUAACAUUUUGUCUUAUCCACAACCGCAACUCCGUAAGCAAACAAUACUUAUCAGUGGCCACCAUAUAUACUACUUCGUAUGUGAGAUCAUUAUUAUCAUACUUUGACACAGAAUUUUAGAUCGAUUUGAUGUCAUAUCAUCCAAUCAUAAGGGCUCCUUAUAUAUAUCCAUGAGAUCACAUGGACAUCAUUUGUUAUGGAACAAACUGAAACAGCUUUAACUAAUGUUGCACAAUGCACACUAGUUGUUAUUCAAACAGCUGCUUGCAUUUUUUUUCCAGCGCAUCAAAAUAUGUUACUAGUGCUACUCAUAAAUGUGUACCGGUCAAUGUCCAUUAUACCAUUAUAUUAGUAGGAAGAGAACGACUAAUUCUAGUACUACGAUUUCUAUUCAAGAGGUAUGUAACAAUGUAGUGCUAGGUAUGAAUUGAAUUUUAUUGCUGGAAAUGUCAUGUGGACUCAUUAGGUCUUUUUCAGGGACAACUGAUCAACAAUCAACCGAAUUGAAAUGGAUUAAAAUGCCAGCACAUGCCAGCCUAAUUAGUAGCCUAUAAUAAUUAUCUGCUAAACUGCAUCGAUCCCACGAUGAACAAUGCAAUAAUGUCAAAUAUAU